Molecule: ribosomal RNA, 424 nt
Filed under: uncultured Bacillota bacterium
Lineage: Bacteria; Bacillati; Bacillota
Description: bacterial SSU rRNA
Rfam family: Bacterial small subunit ribosomal RNA
Source: RNAcentral
AACGCGAAGAACCUUACCUAGACUUGACAUCCCUUGCAUAACUCAGAGAUGAGUGAAGUCCUUCGGGACAAGGUGACAGGUGGUGCAUGGUUGUCGUCAGCUCGUGUCGUGAGAUGUUGGGUUAAGUCCCGCAACGAGCGCAACCCUUAUCAUUAGUUGCUACCAUUAAGUUGAGCACUCUAGUGAGACUGCCCGGGUUAACCGGGAGGAAGGUGGGGAUGACGUCAAAUCAUCAUGCCCCUUAUGUCUAGGGCUACACACGUGCUACAAUGGUGAGUACAAAGAGAUGCAAGACCGCAAGGUGGAGCCAAACUCAAAAACUCAUCCCAGUUCGGAUUGUAGGCUGCAACUCGCCUACAUGAAGCCGGAGUUGCUAGUAAUCGCGAAUCAGCAUGUCGCGGUGAAUACGUUCCCGGGCCUUGUA